This 468-nucleotide ribosomal RNA is filed under the name uncultured bacterium. RNAcentral's name for it is "partial 16S ribosomal RNA". It matches the Rfam family "Bacterial small subunit ribosomal RNA", at positions 28 to 507 of the family's 1533-position model. The record is from RNAcentral.
GACGAACGCUGGCGGCGUGCUUAACACAUGCAAGUCGAACGGAAAGGCCCUGCUUUUGUGGGGUGCUCGAGUGGCGAACGGGUGAGUAACACGCGAGUAACCUGCCCUUGACUUUGGGAUAACUUUAGGAAACUGGGGCUAAUACCGGAUAGGAGCUCUUGCUGCAUGGUGGGGGUUGGAAAGUUUCGGCGGUUGGGGAUGGACUCGCGGCUUAUCAGCUUGUUGGUGGGGUAGUGGCUUACCAAGGCUUUGACGGGUAGCCGGCCUGAGAGGGUGACCGGCCACAUUGGGACUGAGAUACGGACCAGACUCCUACGGGAGGCAGCAGUGGGGAAUAUUGCACAAUGGGCGGAAGCCUGAUGCAGCAACGCCGCGUGCGGGAUGACGGCCUUCGGGUUGUAAACCGCUUUCGCCUGUGACGAAGCGUGAGUGACGGUAAUGGGUAAAGAAGCACCGGCUAACUACGUG